This 429-nucleotide ribosomal RNA is filed under the name Verrucomicrobiota bacterium. RNAcentral describes it as "Verrucomicrobia bacterium partial 16S ribosomal RNA". It matches the Rfam family "Bacterial small subunit ribosomal RNA", at positions 355 to 776 of the family's 1533-position model. Lineage: Bacteria; Pseudomonadati; Verrucomicrobiota. The record is from RNAcentral.
UAGGGAAUCUUCGGCAAUGGGGGGAACCCUGACCGAGCAACGCCGCGUGAGUGAAGAAGGUUUUCGGAUCGUAAAGCUCUGUUGUUAAGGAAGAACGAGUGUGAGAAUGGAAAGUUCAUGCUGUGACGGUACUUAACCAGAAAGGGACGGCUAACUACGUGCCAGCAGCCGCGGUAAUACGUAGGUCCCGAGCGUUGUCCGGAUUUAUUGGGCGUAAAGCGAGCGCAGGCGGUUAGAAAAGUCUGAAGUGAAAGGCAGUGGCUCAACCAUUGUAGGCUUUGGAAACUGUUUAACUUGAGUGCAGAAGGGGAGAGUGGAAUUCCAUGUGUAGCGGUGAAAUGCGUAGAUAUAUGGAGGAACACCGGUGGCGAAAGCGGCUCUCUGGUCUGUAACUGACGCCGAGGCUCGAAAGCGUGGGGAGCGAACAGG